RNAcentral lists this ribosomal RNA (420 nucleotides) under uncultured Rhodococcus sp. Its description in RNAcentral is "bacterial SSU rRNA". It matches the Rfam family "Bacterial small subunit ribosomal RNA", at positions 358 to 790 of the family's 1533-position model. Lineage: Bacteria; Bacillati; Actinomycetota; Actinomycetes; Mycobacteriales; Nocardiaceae. The record is from RNAcentral.
GGAAUAUUGCACAAUGGGCGGAAGCCUGAUGCAGCGACGCCGCGUGAGGGAUGAAGGCCUUCGGGUUGUAAACCUCUUUCAGCAGGGACGAAGCGUGAGUGACGGUACCUGCAGAAGAAGCACCGGCUAACUACGUGCCAGCAGCCGCGGUAAUACGUAGGGUGCGAGCGUUGUCCGGAAUUACUGGGCGUAAAGAGUUCGUAGGCGGUUUGUCGCGUCGUUUGUGAAAACCCGGGGCUCAACUUCGGGCUUGCAGGCGAUACGGGCAGACUUGAGUGUUUCAGGGGAGACUGGAAUUCCUGGUGUAGCGGUGAAAUGCGCAGAUAUCAGGAGGAACACCGGUGGCGAAGGCGGGUCUCUGGGAAACAACUGACGCUGAGGAACGAAAGCGUGGGUAGCAAACAGGAUUAGAUACCCUGG